Molecule: long non-coding RNA, 481 nt
Organism: Alosa sapidissima (American shad)
Lineage: Eukaryota; Metazoa; Chordata; Actinopteri; Clupeiformes; Clupeidae
Exons: 4
Source: RefSeq, a predicted model, not a curated record
AGGCUACAGAGAAGAACAUGGAAGUACCAAAGGACUUGCUGGUUUCAGAGAAGGCUGGUAGAGCUCUCUAUGAGUGUGAGCUGUGGGAGAUAACCCAGAACUGACAACCACCUAAAGAAGAGGUGGCGAUAAUGGCUCUCCAAGAGGAGGUUGUGAGUCUGAAGGCUUUUAUUCAACAAGGAGGCACUUAGAGGGAAUGCCUGGACCCUGAGAGGACUAAGACGAUAAUUGAGGCCACCCUGAAGCAGUUCCAAGGCCAGACACUCACUCCAGAUUGCUGGGCCAGGCAAUAAAUGCCAAAGUGACAGAACUGAGGUUCCAUAACAAAAACAAAGAUUUUCAAUAAAAUAGAAUAAAAGAUAACAGAAGUGUUGUGUGUUUCUUCCUCUUUAUACUGAUACUAUGGUUGAUUUUAAGUAAACACAAUAGUGAAAUAUUUAUUGAUCAAUGCGGAAAAUAUCAAACCAUAGUAGAAUAUGAA